Molecule: long non-coding RNA, 618 nt
Organism: Anoplopoma fimbria (sablefish)
Lineage: Eukaryota; Metazoa; Chordata; Actinopteri; Perciformes; Anoplopomatidae
Exons: 3
Source: RefSeq, a predicted model, not a curated record
CUGGCCUGCUGUGUGACUGCAGCUCUAAGUAUCUCCAGAAAUCAAAAGCCAGGUUGUGAACAUUGCAAAGGAGAAGCUUCCAAUCUUGCUCAACAUGACAGAUCAGCUGAGGAUCAACCAAGCAAUGUGGAUGGUGAUUUGACAGUAGUGAACUAUGUAGCGCUGGAUUUCCACUCAAGAAAUGCCAAAAGAUGGAAGAAUGACAGGGAGUUACCACAGGAGUGUCUGUACUCUGGCACAAGAGACCCUGAGUGACGUGAAGUCACCAUGAAGAACGAACAUCUAACAUGUUCAUAGAGUGAUGCAGGAAGGAGUCAUGAAACCAGAAAUUAGAUUAGCUUAGUACAGAGACAGCUUUUGUUUUGUGAUGUUGCCUGGAUGAACCAAAUAUAUGCAUUUAUUAUCAUUCUUAAUAUAAUUGUGUUGUUUUAGUAUUAUUAUUACUUGUGAGAUUAAUCAUGAACAAUUACUCAAAAUUUGAAAGAAAUAAGAAUGUGAAGAAAAAAAAAGUGAUAUUAGACAUUUUUGUCACUCAUAAUAUAUUCGGUUUGAUAAAACACCUGCUGUACAGUCCAAUUAUUUUUUUUCAGUUUGACAUUGUGUGUGAUUUAAAGUUGU